Molecule: transfer RNA, 71 nt
Filed under: Poecilia formosa (Amazon molly)
Lineage: Eukaryota; Metazoa; Chordata; Actinopteri; Cyprinodontiformes; Poeciliidae
Rfam family: tRNA
About the family: Transfer RNA (tRNA) molecules are approximately 80 nucleotides in length. Their secondary structure includes four short double-helical elements and three loops (D, anti-codon, and T loops). Further hydrogen bonds mediate the characteristic L-shaped molecular structure. tRNAs have two regions of fundamental functional importance: the anti-codon, which is responsible for specific mRNA codon recognition, and the 3' end, to which the tRNAs corresponding amino acid is attached (by aminoacyl-tRNA synthetases). tRNAs cope with the degeneracy of the genetic code in two manners: having more than one tRNA (with a specific anti-codon) for a particular amino acid; and 'wobble' base-pairing, i.e. permitting non-standard base-pairing at the 3rd anti-codon position.
Source: Rfam by way of RNAcentral
AGCCGGUUAGCUCGGCUGAUCAGAGUGUGGUGUUAACGCUGAGGUCAUGGGUUCAAUCCCCAUACUGGCCA